AUGGUGCUCAUACAGAUCCAAUUUAAAGUCCUUCUCCUCACUCACAAAGCCCUCUAUAACCAGGCCCCCUCCUACCUCACUGACCUGCUCCACUGCCGCACUCUGUCACAAAGCCUCCGCUCUUCUGAUGCCAACCUCCUGUCUCCACCACCCAGGACCAAGCAUCCAAACCAAGCCUUCUCCAUAGCUGCACCCCAACUCAAUCCUCAAACACAUCAGAGACUUGUACGACGACUCAAUCAGUUUGUAUCACUGUGGUACACGUUCGGUGGAGGAACCAGACUGGAGAUUGGAAGUGAUGUCCGUCCCACCCUGACGGUGCUGCCCCCCUCCAGUGAGGAGCUGCAGCAGGGGAAGGCCACGCUCAUGUGCCUGGCCAACAAGGGCUUCCCCUCAGACUGGAGUCUGUCCUGGAAGGUGGACGGCAGCAGCAGCAGCAGCAGCAGCAGCUGGGAGCAGAGCAGGAGCCCCGGGGUGCUGAAGGACGGCCACUACAGCUGGAGCAGCACCCUGAGGCUCUCUGCAGACCAGUGGAGGAAGGUGGGCUCUGUGACCUGUGAGGCCACCCAGGGCUCCCAGACUCCGCUCUCAGAGACACUGAGGAGAGACCAGUGUUCCCAGUCCUGACCUGACUCACUGGGACUCUGCUACUGGUUUUACUCUGCUACUGCUCUCACUGUGCACUCUGUAACUAUCUCUCUCUUUCAUUUGACAUGUUUCAGUCAGAAUAUUUACUAGCUUGUUGCAGUGUUUCAAUAUUAUUUCACUGUUUCCAGAUAAUAAAGACGUGUUCAUCAAA
This is a non-coding RNA of Dicentrarchus labrax (European seabass), 799 nucleotides long. Lineage: Eukaryota; Metazoa; Chordata; Actinopteri; Moronidae. The record is from the annotation of a RefSeq genome assembly.